Molecule: long non-coding RNA, 955 nt
Organism: Micropterus dolomieu (smallmouth bass)
Lineage: Eukaryota; Metazoa; Chordata; Actinopteri; Centrarchiformes; Centrarchidae
Exons: 3
Source: RefSeq, a predicted model, not a curated record
UGCAGCAAAGAAAAUCGCUGAUUUAGGCGGCUGGGAGAUUCCCAUGUCCGGUCAUGUUCAGCAUGUCAACCCAGGGGAUAAGAGACAUGUUUCGGGGACCACUACCUCACCGCUCGCUUUGUCAUAGAUACGUUAUGUUGACGUAAAAACGUACAGGACGCCUUGACGUCCAGGAGGAACAACAGUAAUAUAAUUUCCGGUGACACUUUCAAAGGUGGGAUGAAAACCUGAGAAUUAUUGUCAGAUAUCAACCUGCAGCCUGCGACAGGCAAAAACAAACAAAAGAAACAAUGAGGGAGGAGGCGCAACCACACUGUAAGUCAUCUGUCACAACGUUACUAAGACAACAAUCAUAUGAGCCACCUCCUGAUCCAACUGCACCCACAGGUCUUGGCAGAGAAGAUAUUGCAAUCAGUGCAAUAUCACUCUUGCAAUCAGUUUAUCACGAAGGUGGCUACAUCUGAUUUAGCCUGUAGGGCUUCAAGGUUUAUUGUGUUGUGAGGACCGAGGUUCAUUUCAGUCUAUAACUGUUAAAGAAAAAUAGACCAUGUUGAAGUUAAAAAAAGAUAUUGACAUUAUGUGCUCCUUGUGAUGUGAUGUUCAUGUAGAAACAAUAGCCCAUUUAUUCUGGCAUUGUACUUAUACCAAGAAACUGUGGAAAGAUGUAUGUAGAUUUGUGAUUGAUAAUAUUUACAGUGAUUUUGAACUACUGUAUAAAAAUGUCAUUUUUGGUUUUGUGAAUGUUGAAUGUAAGCUUGAAGACAAUUACCUUUGAUUAACCUGAUAAUAAUUUUUGCUAAAUAUUGUAUCCACAAAUGUAAAUUUACUAAUGCCAAACCAAUAUUUACCUUACUCAAGAAAGAAAUUAAUCUAUAUAUAGGAAUGAUAAACUCAUUCCAAAACAAGAAAGCUAUCAAAACGGUGAAUUUAUGUACUUUACACAAUAUAUUUGUAG